RNAcentral lists this ribosomal RNA (253 nucleotides) under uncultured bacterium. RNAcentral describes it as "partial 16S ribosomal RNA". It matches the Rfam family "Bacterial small subunit ribosomal RNA", at positions 524 to 776 of the family's 1533-position model. The record is from RNAcentral.
UACAGAGGUCUCGAGCGUUGUUCGGAUUCAUUGGGCGUAAAGGGUGCGUAGGUGGCGUGGUAAGUCUGGUGUGAAAUCCCGGGGCUCAACCCCGGAACUGCACUGGAUACUGCCAUGCUUGAGUACUGGAGAGGAGAUUGGAAUUUACGGUGUAGCAGUGAAAUGCGUAGAUAUCGUAAGGAAGACCAGUGGCGAAGGCGAGUCUCUGGACAGUUACUGACGCUGAGGCACGAAGGCCAGGGGAGCAAACGGG